This is an RNA transcript of Loxodonta africana (African savanna elephant), 3466 nucleotides long. It is a transcript of the gene named CD47 molecule, with no coding region annotated. The transcript has 12 exons. The record is from RefSeq and is a predicted model, not a curated record. Lineage: Eukaryota; Metazoa; Chordata; Mammalia; Proboscidea; Elephantidae.
UCGGCGGCGGGUCCUGCCUGGGACGGGCGGCGGCGGCGGGUCCUGCCUGGGACGGGACCGUGGCCCUGGGACGGGACCGUGGCCCUGGGACGGGACUGUGGCGGCGGCUGCUACCCACACCUGCGAGGGCGGCGGGUCCUGCCUGGGACCGGACUGCGGCGGCGGCCCGGAAGGCACGGCGGCUCCCCGGCGGGCGCGGAGAUGUGGCCCCUUAUGGCGGCGCUGCUGCUGGGCUCGGCGUGCUGCGGUUCGGCUCAGAUAACAUUUAAUGUAAUCAAAUCUGUGGAAUACACCGUUUGCAAUGAAACUCUUGUUAUCCCAUGCUUCGCUACUAACGUGGAAACGAAACAGCUUGCAGAGCUGUAUGUAAAGUGGAAAUUUAAAGGAAAAGACAUUUUUAUCUUUGAUGGAAGUAGAAAUCAGUCUACUCCCAGCAGUAAUUUUACAAGUGCGGAGAUCACACCAGAAGAAUUACUACGUGGAAUUGCCUCUUUGAAGAUGAAAAAGAAGGAUGCCGUCCCUGGGAACUACACAUGUGAAGUAACAGAGUUAUCCAGAGAAGGCGAAACAACCAUACAACUAAAAUACCGUGUCGUUUCAUGGUUUUUUCAAAAAGAAAAUAUUCUCAUCAUCAUUUUCCCAAUUUUGGCUAUACUUCUAUUCUGGGGACAGUUUGGUGUUUUGAUACUUAACUCGAAAUCCAGUCGUAUGAAUCAGGAAACCAUUUCUGUGCUUGUUGCUGGACUAUUUCUCACCAUGGUUGUUAUUGUCGGAGCCAUUCUUUUCGCCCCAGGUGAAUAUUCAACAAAGAAUGCUUCUGGGCUUGGUUUAAUUGUAAUUCCUAUGGUGAUAUUACAAGUACUUCAGUACUUUGUAUUUAAGACAAGCUUUGAGAUGAACUACUUUGCCAUUGCCAUAUUGAUUCUUCAGGUGCUGGGCUUUGUACUUGCUGUGGUUGGAUUCAGCCUCUGUGUCUCCGAGUGCGUCCCAGUGCAGGGCCCUCUUCUGAUUUCAGGUUUGGGUAUCAUAGCUCUAGCAGAAUUACUCGGACUAGUUUAUAUGAAAUUUGUGGAGCUGAGAGGCACACCUUCGGUCAGUUGAAGGGCCAGAAGAGAAAAGGUACAGAAAAGUUGCUCUUUAGCCCCUAAUCAGACAACUACUCCACCUCCUAGGAAAGCUGUAGAGGAACCCCUUAAUGCGUUUAAGGAAUCGAAAGGAAUGAUGAAUGAUGAAUAACUGAAGUGGAGUGAUGGACUGUGAUGUGAAGACUGGUGCGACAUUAAAGGAGUACACUUGUAGCUGAGCACCAUGGCCUUCAUGACUCACUACUGGGGAAGAGAAGACAAGAAAAUUAACUGGUUAAGUUUUCAUUCAAAGAAACUGUAAUUUAGUUAAUAAAAGGAUUAUGAUUUGUGCUGUCUGCCCAAUUGAGACCAAGUUUUUUGUUUUGUUUUGUUAUUUUUAUUUUUAUUCAGUUAGGGCAAAAUAGAGUAGACAACUUCCAAGAAUGAUGCAUUCAGAUUCUAGGGCCUCCUGACGUGAAGUCAUCUGUUGAAAUUGGUUCAAAGUGAAAAUUACUGAGCCCCAACCUGGUGAUGUCCACGAAUGUCUGUGAAAAACAGUGGGUUUUAUUGAAAUUCAGGGUCACAGCAGCUUUGGCAAAUACUGUGUUAGCUGGAUUACAUGCCUGCCACUUCUGGGUCAAGGGAGUAGUGAAUUUAUGUGCAGGUAGGAAUUUGGUUGGGAAUAUCUUCUAUGCCACCUGUGUGUAAUGUGAUACCCAUGGAGAUAGUGGGCUUCAUUCUUGGGUGUUGCCAUUUGUACAUUUCUCCUUCAGCCUACAGUAUAACAGAUCCUUUCCAGUUGAGGGUAUUUUUAUUGAUGGAUGUGAUUUCUUUAUCUGCACAACCCUUUGAGCCCUUUCUUGUCCUGCUGUUCCUUGCUUCUAUUGUACAAGACGUAGCCCCUUUUCUCCUCUUUGAACGUGGUCCAGGGACAUGGUGGCAACAGUUGCAGAAAGAAGCCAAACUUGUUCUGAGGGCACUGUGUUAACACUUCUCAGCAAAAAUGGCUAUGGUUAUAACAUGUAUUCCCUUCCUCUGAUUUGAAGGCAAAAUCUGCAGUAUUUCUUCACUUCUUCUCUGACCCAGGGCAUGAAAAACAAAGAUUGAAAUUCGAGCUAUGAGUCUUCUGCAUGGCAGCAUAAUGUGUGUCACCAACAGGCCCACAGGCCGGCCCUUGCCAGGGUGGUUUUAUUACUGUUGUGUCUCUGUUGCAUGAAAAACACUCAACCUCCCUCCUGUAGUCCUGCCUCGUACUCCCUUACUCUGAGAUUGAAAGGUGAAAGAAAACCCCCACAUUCCUACCUUAGCUAGAGAAGAUUAACCUUCUGGCAGUUGUGAUCGCCUGGAGUACUUUUAGGUUAUUAGCACUGGUUUUUUACCUCAUCUGUGUGUGUUUGUGUGUGUGUAAGAUAGGCACAUGCAUUGUCUGUAUAGACAAAGUGGGGUACCUACAGAAGAGCAAAUGUGAAUUCCAUGCUUCUAGUAAAAAUAUGACAAAAAAUAAAGAUCUUUUUUGGGUGAAAUUACAUUUGACUCAAACAUUUGAUCACUUUUAAAACUUAAAGAACUUCUAGGUAACUUGUCAAGCUUUUUCACUGCUCACCAGUACCCUCUUAAAAUACUAGUAAUUCUUCCUGUUUGUGUAGUAAUAAGGCAUUCAUGUUUGUAGUUGCUUUAAUAAUAGUUAUUUCUGAGUCCACCGAAUGUUCUCAUGUGCCUCUUUUAUGCCAAGUUAAUUGUUGUACUUCAUGUUGGGACCAAGUGGUUUGUCCGUGCCAAACCCAAAUUUAAUGACCUGCUGAUGCCUCUCCAAAAGCGGAACACACUAUGGAGACAGCUUGAGAAAAAGAAAAAAUACCUUUCUUCCCUAAUUGUGUCGCUGUCCAGAAUAUUAGCACAUGUGGAGGGAGCUGUAUUCCCUUACGUAAAUCUGAUGUCUCCUGCUGUUCUUUUUUCUUCUGAAGAUGUUUAUGUUUUGCCAACAUGGUUUGUUACUUUGGAAAUCAGUUCUGAUGAAAGGAGGAAAAAAGCAGAUGGAUUUGAAAUAGAUCCAAAUUCCUACUCUUUAUUAAGAAAAAGUCAGGUAUGAAAAUCUUUAUAGUAACAUUUUUUUAUAAACUAAAGUACUUUUUAACAUGCAGUGUACUCCAUUAUUUGGGGUUUAGUUGUGGGAAUGAUGCAGCCCCUGCUUCCUGUGUAAUGCCGCCUGUCUUUUGAGGCAUUCACUGCCCUAAACCAUGCCCUCAGAAGGUAGCAGGCAGAAUGCCAGAUGCAGUCAGCUCUUCCAGUAUCAGCGUCUCUGGAAAAGGGGCCAAAGCAGCAGGAUCAUCUUGCUGGGCAUCUUAGGGCCGGUUCAUUCUCCGUGACUCAGGCUUGUGAUGGCUCCCCGUUUUCUGUCACAC